Falco peregrinus (peregrine falcon) is the source of this 4516-nucleotide long non-coding RNA. RefSeq lists it as uncharacterized. The record is from RefSeq and is a predicted model, not a curated record. Lineage: Eukaryota; Metazoa; Chordata; Aves; Falconiformes; Falconidae. The transcript is spliced from 4 exons.
CAGAUACAAAGUACAUUCCUAUUGCAAGAAUGCCCUUCUGGAAUCCCUCUAGGCAAAAAUCACCAUCUGGCUUGAAAGAAGGAACCUACACAUGAGUUUCCCUGGGCACACAGAGAAGCUGAUUAAAUGGAAGGGAAGGUUGCCUUAUCCAAGAGUGAAACCUUCUGCUAGCAGGACCUGGGAAGAGCUUCGGCAGAAAUAAAAGUAUGCUAAAGCUGUGGCGUGAAGGAAGAUGAGGACCAAGAGUGCUUCUGGAGGAUGGCCUGGAGUUCCUGAGGAAGGCACGCUAGCUAGGUAAGAUGAGCCUUGUAGGACAAGUGAGAACAAAGUAGGAUGCAGUCUUUCUGGGGAGAUGACCUGUGCUGGAAGAAACUACGUAUAGGGUAUGUUCACAUCCUUAUUCUUUCUUCUGUUAAGAUGAAAUGAGGAAAGCCCUAUGAAUAAAAUGGUAUUUUCUCACUAUUUUUUCCCUACCUGGAUCAGUAUGAUCAUACAAUCAUUUUGAACACAUGUGGAAAUGAAAUGGCAAGACUAAUUUGAAUCCAGAACUGUUUAACUACUUCUGAGACAUUUGAAAAAAGCAGCUCAGAAAACAAAACAGCAACUAGAUAUAAAUUGCCAUUUUGCCUCUAUGGCUUCAACUGCUAUGCUGUAUCAUGUCAUUCAUUUCCAAACAUAAUUUCUCUUUGGAAAGGCGUUUUCCACUAGGUUCCAAUAACUAUGACCUCACAAUUCAAACUUUCUUUUCAUUAUGGAAAUACAAAUAUUUAUUUUGUGUGUUUGUUGAAAACCUGCUUGUUAUUAGCCCAACAAACUAUUUUUCUGGAGUUCUGCAAUAUGACUGUAAUGGGGCCAGUUUAUGAAAUUUGGAUGUUUUCAUCCUGCUGUAGUAUCUAGCUCAGUACUUCUCCUAUACUUGCCAGCCAUCUCAAAUACAAGUAAUUAGGUUCUAUGGGUCUAAUUUUAAUUGGCUGUUGUGCCCUAUGUUGUGUUUUCUUAUAGAGUUGCAACGAAUUGCUGUGCUCUUAAAUGAGGCAAGAAAGAAGAAAUAGAUUUUAUUAAACUGAGAUACUUGUGAGUUAUAGUAAAGGCAGCCACAAAUUAGCAUGGUGUGGGAUCCUCCCUGAAUAGAUCUCACCUACCAGAACAAUGCAUUGUGAAAUUCCCUGUUUCAUGUUAUUUAGAGUUUUCAGAUCUGAAGGCAGGGGGGAAAGAUUGUCAUGACAAUAGUGGUAAUAGCUUUUACUGCAAAUAUUUUGGAAUAUAAUAUUUAUUAUAAUGUUUAUGGAGCAAUCAGAUUCAGGAUUGUGUCACCAGGUCUGAAGAUGCCUUUAGGAAAGAUGUUACUCGUGGUCUGAAAAAACUGCAAUCAGUUUAUUAACAGUCAUGUGAGUAAUCUGUUUGAGAAUUCAGGACCCAGCGAUGACCCUCAUGGAAAACAUGAUAGCUUCUUUCAUUUUGGUGUUGCUGAUUCUGAUCUAGCUUCACCAAUCUGUCAAAUAUCAGCUGUUUAAAUUAGGAUCGUUGGGGCUUGUCUUGUUCUGUCCUUCAGCCAGUCAUAUGCUUUACUUAAUUUGCAGUACUACACUGUCACUCUUCCCAACCCCUUAUCCAGUGCUUCAUAUAUUUUGGUUGGUUUGAUCUGUUUUUCUGCAAACAGAAAGAUACUGCAUGCUGUGUCACCAGACCUCAACUUUUGCUAGUACUUUGCACAGUGUACUCAAAGAAAUACAUAGAGGACAUAACUUCUAGCUUCAGGCUUUUGCUUAGGCCAGGAUCCAUUCUGCAACUGGAUGCUUCAGAAAAGGAAAAGACACAGAGAUCUGGAUUUGCUUACCCAUAAUCCUGUAGCUAUGAAAAUAAAUAUAAAAUAUUAUUGUUAAUCAGGAAGAGCAUUGCAACUUCUGAGAUUACAAAUUCAAUAAAUUAUUAAAAUGCUGAUGAAUAUUUUUUGUUAAAAUUCUGUUUGGAAUAAAUUCCAUCAAAGAUUAAAUAUUACAGGCUUUUCAUACAAAAAACUUCCAAGAAAUCUAUUUCCUUCUCUCUACAUGAUGAAAUGCAGAUAGUGAAUAAUGGAAUGAAUGAGAACUUUGUGUUAAUAUAAAAUAGAAUUUUAACAGAAAUGUCAUUAUUUUGGGGUAUUUUUUAAAAUAUGAACUUAGAAAAUAAAAUAUUUCUAUUUAUUUUCAGAAGAAAAGUAUUCUCCACUUCAACCAAAAGUUAGAGAGUUGAUGCACAGACUGGAUGAAUUUCUAAAAUUUAUCAUCUUCUUAUGGCAGCAGGACUUCUGUUAUCAAAAUGUAUCAUCUUUAACCACAGAAUUUGAGUUAUGUCUCCAACAGCUGGUUAUUGGCAAAGCAUCUUCUGUUGAGGACAGAGCAUGCAACUGCUCACAGUCUUUUCUCAGCCCACUGCAGAGAAUUUGCUAGGUUAUUUGUGAGGAAAUUGGCAAGCCUGCUGUGUGUACUCAGGCAUCCUGGGAAUUUCACUAGUCAAAGUUGAAAAGUGCAAAAACUGUCAAUCAGUGUGUAUUUACCAUUUUCCUUUCUUUGUCCAAGAUUGAUGCUGUUGGAGGAGGCGAAAGACUGUGAUGAGACAAAAAAACCAGCAUGCCUAAUGCACAAUUUAUUCAAGAGUUGGUUUUUUCUCCAAAUUUUAUGGAACCUUGUGCACUCUGUCUCAAAGUUGCCGUAACACCUGAUACACAAUACAAAAUACAUUUAUGCACAACACACAACAUAAAGGGUACAUAUGACUCAUUAUCUUUAUAUUUCCAGAAAAUGGUUCUUAUCCAGUUUCCCCAUCUUUACACAAAUUUUCCAAGGUUUGUUUGAGAGCAUUUAUGUUUGAAUAUAAUAUCCACCCGCCCAAUGAAAAUUUCCAUUUAAAAGACUACCACUUCACCCUGUUCUUACAGCACUUCUUAUUGAGAGGUUUGAUUUACUCUUCAAGUCUGAACUUUUAAGUCUUCUUGAUAGAGGUAAUAAGUCUUUCAUUCUACUAUACAGUUAGUCCUAUCCCAAUUCUUACUCCAGUCAUUUAUUUCUCUCUUCCUAGUCUGCUGUAUUGCUAUCUGCCCAUUUAUUAUCCCAUCUCCCUCACUGAAUUGUGAGGGUUGCCAGUGUAAAUAUUAAAAGCCUGGGGUUUUAAUCCAGCCAUAACACAAAAUGGUUGCUUAUCCUGACAUUCCUGUCCUUCCAUUUUUUUCAGCUAUGCUUACUCAGCUCUACUCUCUCAGAAAAUAAUAUUCAGUAAGGACAGUACCUGCUGACAAUAGCUCUUAUGAGAAUGGAUAAUACUGUUUCUUCCUCAUUUUCUUGAAUAAUCCUAAAGGGGAAAAAAUUGCACUUCAACCAUCUAUUCCUAUCCGUCUUGUUUAUUUAUCACAUUUAUCACAAUUUAAGGUGUGUUUCAGGUUUUAGAAUUUCUUCCAGUAACAGAGACUUUCUUUACAUGUUAGGUGUUCUUAACAUUUAAAAACUUUGCUUUUAAUCAGCUUUCAGCUUUGGAGAUAAAUUUUACUGUACAAAACCCUAUGCUACUUUAGUUAAAAGACAACAAUUCUGGGGCAUCUACUUCUCAAAUGUAAAAUGACUUUGAAAGGGUAGCUUAGUCCCAGAAGCCACUUUUCAGUUAUAGUUGCAUACCUUUUCAUGUAGAAAAUGCACUUAGAAUUAUCUUUAUCAGGGCCAAACACCUUUCCUACUUCAUCUAAUUCCCUGGAAAUAUUUCAGUUGAAACAGAAGAAAAAAAUAGGAAGAUGAUUUUAAUAUGUGCUUUUCAUCAGAGUAACACCUUAACCUAUAGUAAUGCAGUGUCUGCUAUGGACUGUUGAUAUGAUACAGUUUUACUCAGUUGAAAAGGGACCAAACAGAGGAAUUAACAAAAUGAACAAAGGAUUUAAGAAGUUUAGCCCCUUUGCUUCAUGAUUUUUCCGAGGCUCUUAACUCUGAAAUCUAUUAUCUCUGUACACCUGAAAAGGACAGGACUGGAUAUAUUUUUCCUUAAAUUCUGUAAAAUUUUACCUUUGAAAUUACUACUACAACUGUUGCAUUAAGUUGACUGACUGAUGAACUGUGGCUUCAGGUUAUACUUUGAGUUCUCAUAGUGCUUAAAGCAACAGGUUUCCAAUGCUAAUGGAAUCUUUUAGACACUAUAUUAUAGUUAUGACCAAUUUUUUUAGAUUAUUGUAUAUUUAUAGUACUCAAUCAAUGGUUUUAUCACACAUUUCAGGCUUAGUUAUUCAUCAGCUACUGUGUGUGGUUUGAAAUGAUGUCUUCUUUCACAUUCUUCAUUACUUUACAAACCCUAGCCUAACUGAAGAAUCUGAGGCAGCUGAGCUUGUUUGGAGUAGCAGAGUGAAGGCUAAGGAAGUUCUCACAGCAGGCAGCAACUCAAAGGGUAGCUACAAAGAUGACAGAGCCAAAGUCUUCUUGGUAGUGGCAAUCAAUAUGACAAGAAGGCCAAAAGAUACACUGAACCUUGAAAAGUUCAGAUUGGAAAGGGAGAGAGAGAC